This 477-nucleotide ribosomal RNA is filed under the name uncultured bacterium. Its description in RNAcentral is "bacterial SSU rRNA". It matches the Rfam family "Bacterial small subunit ribosomal RNA", at positions 365 to 832 of the family's 1533-position model. The record is from RNAcentral.
UUCGCAAUGCCCGAAAGGGUGACGAAGCGACGCCGCGUGCGGGAAGAAGGCCUUCGGGUUGUAAACCGCUGUCGGGAGUUAGGAAAUGCAAGGAUGUUAAUAGCGUCUUUGCUUGACUAAGGCUCCGGAGGAAGCCACGGCUAACUCUGUGCCAGCAGCCGCGGUAAUACAGAGGCGGCAAGCGUUGUUCGGAACUAUUGGGCGUAAAGAGCACGUAGGCGGCCGUGUAAGUCGGUUGUGAAAGCCUUCCGCUCAACGGGAGAACGGCAUCCGAUACUGCAUGGCUCGAGUGCGGGAGGGGAGAGUGGAACUUCUGGUGGAGCGGUGAAAUGCGUAGAUAUCAGAAGGAACACCGGCGGCGAAGGCGACUCUCUGGCCCGUAACUGACGCUGAGUGUGCGAAAGCUAGGGGAGCAAACGGGAUUAGAUACCCCGGUAGUCCUAGCCGUAAACGAUGGGCACUAAGUAGAGGGGUUUU